GUCAUCAGUGAGAUACCACUCUUGGUAAGCUAGAGCGCUCAUUUUUAACCGUUAUCCGGUAAAAAGACAGUUUCAGGCGGGCAGUUUGACUGGGGCAGUCACCUCCCAAAAGGUAAUGGAGGUGUACAAAGGUUCUCUCAGGCUGGACGGAAAUCAGCCAUAGAGUGUAAAAGCAUAAGAGAGCUUGACUGCGAGACGGACAUGUCAAGCAGAGACGAAAGUCGGUUUUAGUGAUCCGACGGUGCUGAGUGGAAAGGCCGUCGCUCAACGGAUAAAAGUUACUCUAGGGAUAACA
RNAcentral lists this ribosomal RNA (295 nucleotides) under uncultured eukaryote. Its description in RNAcentral is "partial large subunit ribosomal RNA". It matches the Rfam family "Bacterial large subunit ribosomal RNA", at positions 2185 to 2479 of the family's 2925-position model. The record is from RNAcentral.